AGACGGAGGGUGCAAGCGUUAAUCGGAAUUACUGGGCGUAAAGCGCUCGUAGGCGGCCUGUUAAGUCGGAUGUGAAAGCCCCGGGCUCAACCACGGAAUUGCGUUUGAAACUACUCGGCUUGAGUACAGGAGAGGAAAGCGGAAUUCCCAGUGUAGCGGUGAAAUGCGUAGAUAUCCGGAGGAACAUCAGUGGCGAAGGCGACUUCCUGGACUAACAUUGACGCUGAGGUGCGAAAGCGUGGGGAGCAAACAGGAUUAGAUACCCCAGUAGUCC
Molecule: ribosomal RNA, 274 nt
Filed under: uncultured bacterium
Lineage: Bacteria
Description: partial 16S ribosomal RNA
Rfam family: Bacterial small subunit ribosomal RNA
Source: RNAcentral